AAAUCCUACGGGAGGCAGCAGUGGGGGAUAUUGCACAAUGGGGGGAACCCUGAUGCAGCGACGCCGCGUGGGUGAAGGAGCGCCUCGGCGCGUAAAGGCCUAUCGGCAGGGAAGAAGGAGGACGGUACCUGACUAAGAAGCCCCGGCUAACUACGUGCCAGCAGCCGCGGUAAUACGUAGGGGGCCAGCGUUAUCCGGAUUUGCUGGGUGUAAAGGGGGCGCAGACGGCAGCGCAAGCCAGG
RNAcentral lists this ribosomal RNA (242 nucleotides) under uncultured bacterium. RNAcentral describes it as "partial 16S ribosomal RNA". It matches the Rfam family "Bacterial small subunit ribosomal RNA", at positions 334 to 592 of the family's 1533-position model. The record is from RNAcentral.